UUUUACCUUCAUUAUUUUUUUCUCCGACCUCAUUUGACCUGUUCCGUUUUCCGUUUGUGCACUCGCUGAACUACGGCAAACUGUUUUUGCACCCCUCCCCGUUCCCUUCCCUAAUGAGCUUCCUCUGUAGACUCGACAAGUACAAGCGAGCUGCUGAAGCCUCAUUGAACAAUAACGCAAGCUGCUCGGCCCCCAUCGUUGCCACACAACUCCUCUGGCUGGUUGCGUUUCCCUGGCUCAUCUUUGCUCCGUGUGCACUUGCGGCCGCGCACGCAAGCGCUCGCUAGCCUUUUUGUCCUUUUACAACUACUGUAAUUUUCAUGAGAUGAUAUGAAGCGCUCACUCUUGGAGUGUCCUGUCAAGAAGUGCAUUAGCGGCCCCGCUGACCCGUUGGACUCCUCACAAGCUGGCUCUCAUUUAGUAUUGCUGCUGUGAGGCCCGAAGCUUCCGAUGUCACUGUAGGAUUCGUCAUUGUGGAGGCGGCAUUUGUGCAAAUGAUUGACCAAAGGUGAAAUAAAUAAAUGGCUUGUGCUCUUUGA
This is a long non-coding RNA of Hippocampus comes (tiger tail seahorse), 539 nucleotides long. RefSeq lists it as uncharacterized. Lineage: Eukaryota; Metazoa; Chordata; Actinopteri; Syngnathiformes; Syngnathidae. The transcript is spliced from 3 exons. The record is from RefSeq and is a predicted model, not a curated record.